Long non-coding RNA from Schistocerca cancellata (South American locust), 132 nucleotides. RefSeq lists it as uncharacterized. The record is from RefSeq and is a predicted model, not a curated record. The transcript has 2 exons. NCBI's taxonomy places the organism in Eukaryota, Metazoa, Arthropoda, Insecta, Orthoptera, Acrididae.
GCUCAGUUGGCGGCGACGACAAUAGAAGGCUACAACAUGAAAGCUAUCGUGUUCGUGUUGGUGGUGCUGGCUGUGGUGUGCGCGGCCUUGGCGAUGCCUGGCCCGAUGCCCUACCCGCGCCCUUUCCCUAUU